RNAcentral lists this ribosomal RNA (327 nucleotides) under uncultured eukaryote. RNAcentral describes it as "partial 18S ribosomal RNA". It matches the Rfam family "Eukaryotic small subunit ribosomal RNA", at positions 1470 to 1796 of the family's 1831-position model. The record is from RNAcentral.
CCCUUAGAUGUUCUGGGCCGCACCCGCGCUACACUGAAGGAGGCAGCGUGUACUCCUGGAUCGAAAGAUUUGGGUAACCCGCGAAUCUCCUUCGUGCUAGGGAUUGAGGUUUGCAAUUAUCCUUCAUGAACGAGGAAUUCCCAGUAAGUGCAAGUCAUAAGCUUGCGCUGACUACGUCCCUGCCCUUUGUACACACCGCCCGUCGCUACUAUUGAUUGAAUGAUUUAGUGAGGACUUCGGACUGGGACCGAUGCGGCUUUCGGGCUGCGUCGGUAUUCUGGAAAGAUGUCCAAACUGUAUCAUUUACAGGAAGUAAAAGUCGUAACA